This 76-nucleotide transfer RNA is filed under the name Planococcus maritimus. RNAcentral's name for it is "tRNA-Thr". It matches the Rfam family "tRNA". From Rfam's summary of the family: Transfer RNA (tRNA) molecules are approximately 80 nucleotides in length. Lineage: Bacteria; Bacillati; Bacillota; Bacilli; Caryophanales; Caryophanaceae. The record is from RNAcentral.
GCCGGAGUAGCUCAAUUGGUAGAGCAACUGACUUGUAAUCAGUAGGUUGAGGGUUCAAUUCCUUUCUCCGGCACCA